CGUGAGGAACCUGCCUUUCAGAGGGGGGACAACAGCUGGAAACGGCUGCUAAUACCGCAUAACACAUAGGUGUCGCAUGGCAUUUAUGUCAAAGAUUUAUCGCUGAGAGAUGGCCUCGCGUCUGAUUAGCUAGUUGGUAGGGUAACGGCCUACCAAGGCGACGAUCAGUAGCCGGACUGAGAGGUUGGCCGGCCACAUUGGGACUGAGAUACGGCCCAGACUCCUACGGGAGGCAGCAG
RNAcentral lists this ribosomal RNA (239 nucleotides) under uncultured bacterium. Its description in RNAcentral is "partial 16S ribosomal RNA". It matches the Rfam family "Bacterial small subunit ribosomal RNA", at positions 116 to 354 of the family's 1533-position model. The record is from RNAcentral.